This 30-nucleotide non-coding RNA is filed under the name Rattus norvegicus (Norway rat). The record is from RNAcentral. Lineage: Eukaryota; Metazoa; Chordata; Mammalia; Rodentia; Muridae.
UGCUUAAAUAGCCUAUGGGAUUCUUGCUCA